AGGCUGCGUUCCAAAAGGAACCGUUCAGAUAUCUGGUAAUUGUGCUUGGCUGAAGAGCCAGUGGUGUGAAGCUGCCUUCUGUGGGAUUAUGACUGAGCACCUAUGAGUGCGAAUCCCCCCU
This 121-nucleotide non-coding RNA is filed under the name Lepisosteus oculatus (spotted gar). The record is from Rfam by way of RNAcentral. Lineage: Eukaryota; Metazoa; Chordata; Actinopteri; Semionotiformes; Lepisosteidae.